This 301-nucleotide ribosomal RNA is filed under the name uncultured bacterium. RNAcentral describes it as "partial 16S ribosomal RNA". It matches the Rfam family "Bacterial small subunit ribosomal RNA", at positions 509 to 807 of the family's 1533-position model. The record is from RNAcentral.
CAGCCGCCGCGGGAAUACGAAGGGUGCAAGCGUUAAUCGGAAUUACUGGGCGUAAAGCGUGCGUAGGCGGUUUGUUAAGUCUGUUGUGAAAUCCCCGGGCUCAACCUGGGAAUGGCAAUGGAUACUGGCAAGCUAGAGUGUGUCAGAGGAUGGUGGAAUUCCCGGUGUAGCGGUGAAAUGCGUAGAGAUCGGGAGGAACAUCAGUGGCGAAGGCGGUCAUCUGGGACAACACUGACGCUGAGGCACGAAAGCGUGGGGAGCAAACAGGAUUAGAUACCCCUGUAGUCCCUGUCUCUUAUAC